Molecule: ribosomal RNA, 461 nt
Filed under: uncultured bacterium
Lineage: Bacteria
Description: bacterial SSU rRNA
Rfam family: Bacterial small subunit ribosomal RNA
Source: RNAcentral
GUACUUACUCCUACGGGAGGCAGCAGUGGGGAAUUUUGGACAAUGGGGGCAACCCUGAUGCAGCGACGCCGCGUGGGGGAUGACGGCCUUCGGGUUGUAAACCCCUUUCAGUAGGGAAGAAGCGAGAGUGACGGUACCUGCAGAAGAAGCGCCGGCUAACUACGUGCCAGCAGCCGCGGUAAUACAUAGGGCGCAAGCGUUGUCCGGAAUUAUUGGGCGUAAAGAGCUUGUAGGUGGCUUGUCGCGUCUGCCGUGAAAACCCGAGGCUCAACCUCGGGCGUGCGGUGGGUACGGGCAGGCUAGAGUGUGGUAGGGGAGACUGGAACUCCUGGUGUAGCGGUGAAAUGCGCAGAUAUCAGGAAGAACACCGAUGGCGAAGGCAGGUCUCUGGGCCAUUACUGACACUGAGAAGCGAAAGCAUGGGUAGCGAACAGGAUUAGAAACCCCAGUAGUCCAGGCAU